CUCGGUGGCGACGGUGCGCGCCAGCGCGGACACAUCGCGCCCGGCCGCGCACUGCUGCAGCGCCUGCAGCAGCGCGGACGACUGCCGCAGCGCAUCCGAGGAGCGCAGGUCGGUCGUGAUCUGCGCCACGAGAAGGUCCAUUUCCGCCCGGACGCCGCCGCCGCCGCAGCCGCACUCCGGCGAUCGCCGGAGAUGGGGAAGAUUGGUGGUGGUUCUCGCGCUCGCGCAGAUCUGAGGAAGAGAGAGAGCAACGAGCACGAGCGUCCCCGAGAAGAAAGAAAGGGUCGAUUCGGGCCAGUACUACUGGCAAAUGGGGCCCACUGCC
Molecule: long non-coding RNA, 325 nt
Filed under: Oryza brachyantha (malo sina)
Lineage: Eukaryota; Viridiplantae; Streptophyta; Magnoliopsida; Poales; Poaceae
Description: long non-coding RNA (OBRA_LNC002777)
Source: RNAcentral